GGGAUGCUUAGUACGGCGAGUGAAGCGGCAAAAGCUCAAAUUUGAAAUCUGGUACCUUCGGUGCCCGAGUUGUAAUUUGGAGAGGGCAACUUUGGGGCCGUUCCUUGUCUAUGUUCCUUGGAACAGGACGUCAUAGAGGGUGAGAAUCCCGUGUGGCGAGGAGUGCGGUUCUUUGUAAAGUGCCUUCGAAGAGUCGAGUUGUUUGGGAAUGCAGCUCUAAGUGGGUGGUAAAUUCCAUCUAAAGCUAAAUAUUGGCGAGAGACCGAUAGCGAACAAGUACAGUGAUGGAAAGAUGAAAAGAACUUUGAAAAGAGAGUGAAAAAGUACGUGAAAUUGUUGAAAGGGAAGGGCAUUUGAUCAGACAUGGUGUUUUGUGCCCUCUGCUCCUUGUGGGUAGGGGAAUCUCGCAUUUCACUGGGCCAGCAUCAGUUUUGGUGGCAGGAUAAAUCCAUAGGAAUGUAGCUUGCCUCGGUAAGUAUUAUAGCCUGUGGGAAUACUGCCAGCUGGGACUGAGGACUGCGACGUAAGUCAAGGAUGCUGGCAUAAUGGUUAUAUGCCGCCCGUCUUGAACAC
Molecule: ribosomal RNA, 573 nt
Filed under: Saccharomyces cerevisiae (brewer's yeast)
Lineage: Eukaryota; Fungi; Ascomycota; Saccharomycetes; Saccharomycetales; Saccharomycetaceae
Description: partial large subunit ribosomal RNA
Rfam family: Eukaryotic large subunit ribosomal RNA
Source: RNAcentral